AGCAGCCGCGGUAAUUCCAGCUCCAAUAGCGUAUAUUAAAGUUGUUGCAGUUAAAAAGCUCGUAGUUGAAUUUCGGGGUUAGUAGGUUGGUCAUGCCUCUGGUAUGUACUGGUCUCACUGAUUCCUCCUUCCUGAUGAACCUUAAUGCCAUUAAUUUGGUGUUUUGGGGAAUUUGGACUGUUACUUUGAAAAAAUUAGAGUGUUUAAAGCAAGCUAACGCUUGAAUACAUUAGCAUGGAAUAAUGAAAUAGGACGUUCGAUCCUAUUUUGUUGGUUUCUAGGAUUGACGUAAUGAUUAAUAGGGAUAGUUGGGGGCAUUAGUAUUCAAUUGUCAGAGGUGAAAUUCUUGGAUUUAUUGAAGACUAACUACUGCGAAAGCAUUUGCCAAGGAUGUUUUCAUUAAUCAAGAACGAAAUGUUAGGGGAUCGAAGACGAUCAGAUACCGUCGUAGUCUUAACCAUAAACUAUGCCGACUAGGGAUCGGAUGAUGUUAAUUUUUUCAAUGACUCAUUCGGCGCCU
RNAcentral lists this ribosomal RNA (520 nucleotides) under uncultured Glomus. RNAcentral describes it as "SSU rRNA". It matches the Rfam family "Eukaryotic small subunit ribosomal RNA", at positions 569 to 1088 of the family's 1831-position model. The record is from RNAcentral. Lineage: Eukaryota; Fungi; Glomeromycota; Glomeromycetes; Glomerales; Glomeraceae.